RNAcentral lists this ribosomal RNA (500 nucleotides) under uncultured bacterium. RNAcentral describes it as "partial 16S ribosomal RNA". It matches the Rfam family "Bacterial small subunit ribosomal RNA", at positions 30 to 523 of the family's 1533-position model. The record is from RNAcentral.
AUUGAACGCUGGCGGAAUGCUUUACACAUGCAAGUCGAACGGUAGCACGGACUUCGGUCUGGUGGCGAGUGGCGAACGGGUGAGUAAUGUAUCGGAACGUGCCCAGUCGUGGGGGAUAACGUAGUGAAAAUUACGCUAAUACCGCAUACGAUCUAUGGAUGAAAGCGGGGGAUCGCAAGACCUCGCGCGAUUGGAGCGGCCGAUAUCAGAUUAGGUAGUUGGGGGGGUAAAGGCCCACCAAGCCAACGGUCUGUAGCUGGUCUGAGAGGACGACCAGCCACACUGGAACUGAGACACGGUCCAGACUCCUACGGGAGGCAGCAGUGGGGAAUUUUGGACAAUGGGCGAAAGCCUGAUCCAGCCAUUCCGCGUGCAGGAUGAAGGCCCUCGGGUUGUAAACUGCUUUUGUACAGAACGAAAAGGUUUCUACUAAUACUAGGAGCUCAUGACGGUACUGUAAGAAUAAGCACCGGCUAACUACGUGCCAGCCGCCGCCGUAA